GAUGAAGAACGCAGCGAAAUGCGAUACUUGGUGUGAAUUGCAGAAUCCCGUGAACCAUCGAGUCUUUGAACGCAAGUUGCGCCCGAAGCCGUCAGGCCGAGGGCACGCCUGCCUGGGCGUCACAUGCCGUUGCCCCCCCGCGCCCCGCACCCAACUCUUUGGGAGCGACCGCGGGGCGGGCUGAUGAUGGCCUCCCGUGCGCUCCGCCGCGCGGUUGGCCCAAAUACCGAGUCCCCGGCGACGUGCGCCUCGACGAUCGGUGGUUGAGAGACCUCUGUCGCAAGUCGUGCGCGCCCGUCGCGUCACGCGGGCUCGCAUAGCGCCUCGCGCCGCACCCGGUGCGGAGCUUUCAACGCGACCCCAGGUCAGGCGGGGUUACCCGCUGAAUUUAAGCAUAUCAAUAAGCGGAGGA
This 412-nucleotide unclassified non-coding RNA is filed under the name soil metagenome. RNAcentral describes it as "partial contains 5.8S ribosomal RNA, internal transcribed spacer 2, and large subunit ribosomal RNA". The stretch from base 1 to 122 matches the Rfam family "5.8S ribosomal RNA", at positions 35 to 154 of the family's 154-position model. The record is from RNAcentral.